Molecule: non-coding RNA, 86 nt
Organism: Acanthosepion pharaonis
Lineage: Eukaryota; Metazoa; Mollusca; Cephalopoda; Sepiida; Sepiidae
Source: the annotation of a GenBank genome assembly
CUCACACACUAGUUCUCAUAUGAUCACCAAAGUUAAGCAAUGUUGAGUCUGGUCAGUACUUAGAUGAGUGACUGCUUGAGAAUGUG